This 465-nucleotide ribosomal RNA is filed under the name uncultured bacterium. RNAcentral's name for it is "partial 16S ribosomal RNA". It matches the Rfam family "Bacterial small subunit ribosomal RNA", at positions 28 to 507 of the family's 1533-position model. The record is from RNAcentral.
GACGAACGCUGGCGGCGUGCUUAACACAUGCAAGUCGUACGGUAAGGCCCUUUCGGGGGUACACGAGUGGCGAACGGGUGAGUAACACGUGAGUAACCUGCCCACAACUUUGGGAUAACGCUAGGAAACUGGUGCUAAUACUGGAUAUGUGCUCCUGCUGCAUGGUGGGGGUUGGAAAGCUCCGGCGGUUGUGGAUGGACUCGCGGCCUAUCAGCUUGUUGGUGGGGUAGUGGCCUACCAAGGCGGCGACGGGUAGCCGGCCUGAGAGGGUGACCGGCCACAUUGGGACUGGGAUACGGCCCAGACUCCUACGGGAGGCAGCAGGGGGGAAUAGUGCACAAUGGGCGCAAGCCUGAUGCAGCAACGCCGCGUGCGGGAUGACGGCCUUCGGGUUGUAAACCGCUUUCAGCAGGGACGAAGCUUUUUGUGACGUUACCUGCAGAAGAAGCACCGGCUAACUACGUG